AAAUUGAAGAGUUUGAUCAUGGCUCAGAUUGAACGCUGGCGGCAGGCCUAACACAUGCAAGUCGAACGGUAACAGGAAGCAGCUUGCUGCUUUGCUGACGAGUGGCGGACGGGUGAGUAAUGUCUGGGAAACUGCCUGAUGGAGGGGGAUAACUACUGGAAACGGUAGCUAAUACCGCAUAACGUCGCAAGACCAAAGAGGGGGACCUUAGGGCCUCUUGCCAUCGGAUGUGCCCAGAUGGGAUUAGCUAGUAGGUGGGGUAAAGGCUCACCUAGGCGACGAUCCCUAGCUGGUCUGAGAGGAUGACCAG
Molecule: ribosomal RNA, 310 nt
Filed under: Escherichia coli
Lineage: Bacteria; Pseudomonadati; Pseudomonadota; Gammaproteobacteria; Enterobacterales; Enterobacteriaceae
Description: bacterial SSU rRNA
Rfam family: Bacterial small subunit ribosomal RNA
Source: RNAcentral